UUCCUGUUGGUCCAGACCCCUCAAUCUGCCCAGAGAAGCCACGACAGAAGAGUGGUGAUUGGUGCAAGCGACAUGGGAUGAGGGUUCAGCACUGAUCAAGGUAUUGAGUGAAUUGGCUCUCACUAAGUAUGGCCUUUAAAAACUAUCUGCUGCAGUCCCCUUGGCAAAAUUUCAAUGGAGGUGCUUUACCCAAGUCUACUGAUGGAAUCUGACAUUUGGAAAAAGGGGACAAAACUUGAAGAGGCUCAAAGGCAUCCUGAGAAGAGAAGAAAGAGAAAGAAGUGUAAAAGACAGUAGAUGUUGAUCCCAAGGACACGCUUCAAUAAACACUGUGCAUGCACUAUUUACAAUAGUCAAGACAUGGAAGCAACCUCAAUGUCCGUCGACAGAUGAAUGGAUAAAAAAGAUGUGGUAUAUGUAUAUACAAUGGAAUACUACUCAGCCAUAAAAAAAGAAUGAAAUAAUGCCGUUUGCAGCAACAUGGAUGGACCUAGAGAUUAUCAUACUAAGUAAGACAGAGAAAGACAAAUACGAUAUAUCAUUUAUAUGUGGAAUCUAAAAUAUGACCCAAAUGAACUUAUCCACGAAACAGAAACAGACUCACAGACAUAGAAAACAGACUUGUGGUUGUCAAGGGGGAGGAAGAGUGGAGGAGGAAUGGAUUGGGAGUUUGGGAUUAGCAGAUGCAAACUAUUAUAUAUAGAAUGGAUAAACAAGGUCCUACUGUAUAUAGUACAGGGAACUAUAUUCAAUAUCCUGUAAUAAAGCAUAAUGGAAAAGAAUAUGAAAAAGA
Balaenoptera acutorostrata (minke whale) is the source of this 793-nucleotide long non-coding RNA. RefSeq lists it as uncharacterized. Lineage: Eukaryota; Metazoa; Chordata; Mammalia; Artiodactyla; Balaenopteridae. The transcript has 4 exons. The record is from RefSeq and is a predicted model, not a curated record.